RNAcentral lists this ribosomal RNA (1429 nucleotides) under Vibrio sp. RNAcentral describes it as "bacterial SSU rRNA". It matches the Rfam family "Bacterial small subunit ribosomal RNA". The record is from RNAcentral. Lineage: Bacteria; Pseudomonadati; Pseudomonadota; Gammaproteobacteria; Vibrionales; Vibrionaceae.
GGCGCCUACACUGAGUCGAGCGGAAACGAGUUAUCUGAACCUUCGGGGAACGAUAACGGCGUCGAGCGGCGGACGGGUGAGUAAUGCCUAGGAAAUUGCCCUGAUGUGGGGGAUAACCAUUGGAAACGAUGGCUAAUACCGCAUGAUGCCUACGGGCCAAAGAGGGGGACCUUCGGGCCUCUCGCGUCAGGAUAUGCCUAGGUGGGAUUAGCUAGUUGGUGAGGUAAGGGCUCACCAAGGCGACGAUCCCUAGCUGGUCUGAGAGGAUGAUCAGCCACACUGGAACUGAGACACGGUCCAGACUCCUACGGGAGGCAGCAGUGGGGAAUAUUGCACAAUGGGCGCAAGCCUGAUGCAGCCAUGCCGCGUGUGUGAAGAAGGCCUUCGGGUUGUAAAGCACUUUCAGUCGUGAGGAAGGUGGUGUAGUUAAUAGCUGCAUUAUUUGACGUUAGCGACAGAAGAAGCACCGGCUAACUCCGUGCCAGCAGCCGCGGUAAUACGGAGGGUGCGAGCGUUAAUCGGAAUUACUGGGCGUAAAGCGCAUGCAGGUGGUUUGUUAAGUCAGAUGUGAAAGCCCGGGGCUCAACCUCGGAAUAGCAUUUGAAACUGGCAGACUAGAGUACUGUAGAGGGGGGUAGAAUUUCAGGUGUAGCGGUGAAAUGCGUAGAGAUCUGAAGGAAUACCGGUGGCGAAGGCGGCCCCCUGGACAGAUACUGACACUCAGAUGCGAAAGCGUGGGGAGCAAACAGGAUUAGAUACCCUGGUAGUCCACGCCGUAAACGAUGUCUACUUGGAGGUUGUGGCCUUGAGCCGUGGCUUUCGGAGCUAACGCGUUAAGUAGACCGCCUGGGGAGUACGGUCGCAAGAUUAAAACUCAAAUGAAUUGACGGGGGCCCGCACAAGCGGUGGAGCAUGUGGUUUAAUUCGAUGCAACGCGAAGAACCUUACCUACUCUUGACAUCCAGAGAACUUUCCAGAGAUGGAUUGGUGCCUUCGGGAACUCUGAGACAGGUGCUGCAUGGCUGUCGUCAGCUCGUGUUGUGAAAUGUUGGGUUAAGUCCCGCAACGAGCGCAACCCUUAUCCUUGUUUGCCAGCGAGUAAUGUCGGGAACUCCAGGGAGACUGCCGGUGAUAAACCGGAGGAAGGUGGGGACGACGUCAAGUCAUCAUGGCCCUUACGAGUAGGGCUACACACGUGCUACAAUGGCGCAUACAGAGGGCGGCCAACUUGCGAAAGUGAGCGAAUCCCAAAAAGUGCGUCGUAGUCCGGAUUGGAGUCUGCAACUCGACUCCAUGAAGUCGGAAUCGCUAGUAAUCGUGGAUCAGAAUGCCACGGUGAAUACGUUCCCGGGCCUUGUACACACCGCCCGUCACACCAUGGGAGUGGGCUGCAAAAGAAGUAGGUAGUUUAACCUUCGGGGGGACUACC